CUCUUACUGUUCAAGACCCUGAGCAAGCCUUGAAGCAGCAGCUCUUCACCGGGAUUCCCACUGCCCUGAGUUACAUGUUCUCAGCCCCUCACAGCCCUUCUCCGCAACUUCAUGGGCUGUGCUGCUGUUGCUGGGAGGAGAGAUGCUGUUCCAGGCUAUCCUUCUGUGUGAGGAUAGUCUUGUCAUCUCUAAUGGUUACUUAUUUGUGGAAGCUCCAUACUCAGCUAAGUAACAGGCCCAGGGGCUGGGUUCAGCUGCCCACUGAAUCAACAUCCUGAUACUUCUUGGUUGUCCAAGUGGACCUCACCAGCCUGUUCCUCUCCAAUUCCUUGUUUAACAGACUGCCUUCCCCCAGUGCUUCUCCCCAUCCCUUCAGCUUUUACUUUUGAUCCAUGGAAGCUCAGCAUGAGACUAGACAAAAUUGGUAAAGCCCAGACAGAUGGAGAAGGGAGCAGAGUCUCACACUGGCUUCCAUUCUCUUAACCAAUAGGGUUCUGUUCCCCUCAGGAUGACAUCCUUCUGUCCCCUCUUCCCCAAUUCAUACUACCUAAGAAUUCAGCACUGGGCAGGAGUCUAAGGACUCUCAGCUUACUGAUUCAAUCUAGCCAGCAGACUACUGGGCAGGAAGGUUCUGCCUUUCUGCCUUCUGAUCUGGGCUCCAGCUCCAUGGCCCAGCUUCUCAAUCAAGAAAUAUCUGGUGGACAGACUAGACCAAAGCCUGACCUACUUUUACCCAAUAGGUCUUAGGAAAAAUGCUACAGAGUAGGCCCAAACUUCCCAACCUUUCAUCUACCCCCAGGCCUUUUCUUACUGAAAUCCCAUUAUCUGCCACUGGAGGAACUGAAGCUGGUGGCUCUUAAGUUCUUUGGGUGGCCUGUCACUUCGUUAUCCUUGCCCUCCUUGGCCAAUCGGUGCCCCACAUUAUCCUCCUCACCCACGGCUCCCCUGACUGGCCCCGGCUUGCCCAGGAGCCUCCAAUUUACCAACGGAGGCUGGAGCUGCCUGAGGCCCCCACCCAGAUUCCCCUUCUCACCAAUGCCAGCUCCAGGGUGCAC
This 1055-nucleotide long non-coding RNA is filed under the name Marmota monax (woodchuck). Lineage: Eukaryota; Metazoa; Chordata; Mammalia; Rodentia; Sciuridae. The record is from RNAcentral.